UUAUGGUGGGCACUCUAAGGAGACUGCCGGUGACAAACCGGAGGAAGGUGGGGAUGACGUCAAGUCAUCAUGGCCCUUACGGCCUGGGCUACACACGUGCUACAAUGGUCGGUACAAAGGGUUGCCAAGCCGCGAGGUGGAGCUAAUCCCAUAAAACCGAUCGUAGUCCGGAUCGCAGUCUGCAACUCGACUGCGUGAAGUCGGAAUCGCUAGUAAUCGUGAAUCAGAAUGUCACGGUGAAUACGUUCCCGGGCCUU
RNAcentral lists this ribosomal RNA (257 nucleotides) under uncultured Pseudomonas sp. Its description in RNAcentral is "partial 16S ribosomal RNA". It matches the Rfam family "Bacterial small subunit ribosomal RNA", at positions 1126 to 1382 of the family's 1533-position model. The record is from RNAcentral. RNAcentral also lists the same sequence under 1 other name. Lineage: Bacteria; Pseudomonadati; Pseudomonadota; Gammaproteobacteria; Pseudomonadales; Pseudomonadaceae.